GGAAUAGAGUUGAAGAGAUGAUUUCCAAACAAGAAAACUCAUCUGGUUUGUUGUUGUGAGGGUAAGAAGGAAGGCCCCAGGUAGGCACGCUUUAACACAGUUAAACAACAUCAGUAAGUUUUCUUCUUACUACUAUCUGUAAAAUAAAUAAAACAUAAAAUAAGAAAACACAGGUAUAUAUCCAUUUGUAUUUCUCAACUCAGCAUUAUCUUCUGUCCAAAACUACAAGUAGAAAAGCUGGUAGAAGAAAAGCAUACCCGCACAAGAAUUUUCAGCCUGAACAGUAUGCAACAGGAUUAAAAAUUAAUCAGACAAAAAACUUUCUGAACACUUAACAGUAUCGCAGCCCACACCAUUACUGGUUAUCUGGUUCAUAUUUAUGAAGGAUGUAACUUCUAAAAGACAAUAAAACCCUCCUCCUUUGUCCGGGCUUGGGACCGGCUGUGUUACACGAGAAUUCAAACACAGGCGGAGUU
RNAcentral lists this long non-coding RNA (476 nucleotides) under Nicotiana tabacum (common tobacco). RNAcentral describes it as "long non-coding RNA (NTAB_LNC006272)". Lineage: Eukaryota; Viridiplantae; Streptophyta; Magnoliopsida; Solanales; Solanaceae. The record is from RNAcentral.